This 1947-nucleotide ribosomal RNA is filed under the name Desertifilum sp. NapGTcm17. Its description in RNAcentral is "bacterial SSU rRNA". The stretch from base 1 to 1425 matches the Rfam family "Bacterial small subunit ribosomal RNA". Lineage: Bacteria; Bacillati; Cyanobacteriota; Cyanophyceae; Desertifilales; Desertifilaceae. The record is from RNAcentral.
AACGGUGUCUUCGGACACAGUGGCGGACGGGUGAGUAACGCGUGAGAAUCUACCUUCAGGUCGGGGAUAACCCCUGGAAACGGGGGCUAAUACCGGAUAGGUCGAAAGAUGAAAGGUUAACUGCCGGAAGAGGAGCUCGCGUCUGAUUAGCUAGUAGGUGUGGUAAGAGCGCACCUAGGCGACGAUCAGUAGCUGGUCUGAGAGGAUGAGCAGCCACACUGGGACUGAGACACGGCCCAGACUCCUACGGGAGGCAGCAGUGGGGAAUUUUCCGCAAUGGGCGAAAGCCUGACGGAGCAAGACCGCGUGGGGGAGGAAGGCCUUUGGGUUGUAAACCCCUUUUGUUAGGGAAGAAAAAAAUGACGGUACCUAACGAAUCAGCCUCGGCUAACUCCGUGCCAGCAGCCGCGGUAAUACGGAGGAGGCAAGCGUUAUCCGGAAUUAUUGGGCGUAAGCGUCCGUAGGUGGCCCGGCAAGUCUGCUGUCAAAGACCACAGCUCAACUGUGGAAAGGCAGUGGAAACUGCAAGGCUAGAGUGCGGUAGGGGUAGAGGGAAUUCCCAGUGUAGCGGUGAAAUGCGUAGAGAUUGGGAAGAACACCGGUGGCGAAAGCGCUCUACUGGGCCGCAACUGACACUGAUGGACGAAAGCUAGGGGAGCGAAUGGGAUUAGAUACCCCAGUAGUCCUAGCUGUAAACGAUGGAAACUAGGUGUAGCACGUAUCGACCCGUGCUGUAUCGGAGCUAACGCGUUAAGUUUCCCGCCUGGGGAGUACGCACGCAAGUGUGAAACUCAAAGGAAUUGACGGGGGCCCGCACAAGCGGUGGAGUAUGUGGUUUAAUUCGAUGCAACGCGAAGAACCUUACCAGGGCUUGACAUGUCCGGAACCUCUGUGAAAGCAGAGGGUGCCUUCGGGAGCCGGAACACAGGUGGUGCAUGGCUGUCGUCAGCUCGUGUCGUGAGAUGUUGGGUUAAGUCCCGCAACGAGCGCAACCCUCGUCCUUAGUUGCCAGCAUUUUGGAUGGGCACUCUAGGGAGACUGCCGGUGACAAACCGGAGGAAGGUGGGGAUGACGUCAAGUCAGCAUGCCCCUUACGUCCUGGGCGACACACGUACUACAAUGCUGUGGACAAAGAGCAGCCAACCCGCGAGGGCGAGCUAAUCUCAUAAACCACGGCUCAGUUCAGAUCGCAGGCUGCAACUCGCCUGCGUGAAGGCGGAAUCGCUAGUAAUCGCCGGUCAGCAUACGGCGGUGAAUCCGUUCCCGGGCCUUGUACACACCGCCCGUCACACCAUGGGAGCUGGCCACGCCCGAAGUCGUUACUCCAACCGUUCGCGGAGGAGGACGCCGAAGGCAGGGCUGGUGACUGGGGUGAAGUCGUAACAAGGUAGCCGUACCGGAAGGUGUGGCUGGAUCACCUCCUUUAUAGGGAGACCCGACCAGAGUCAAGGUGAAAAAACUAAUUAACCUGACUCUCGGACAAUCCCGAGGUCGUUCGGGGUGAAAUGGAAAUUGUUGUUUCAAACUGAGUUCGGUUCGGAGUAAGGGCUAUUAGCUCAGGUGGUUAGAGCGCACCCCUGAUAAGGGUGAGGUCCCUGGUUCAAGUCCAGGAUGGCCCACCUGAACCCCAAAGCCAAAUUCCCCUCCUCAACCCCAACAGUUAAACCUGUGGGCGAGUGAGGCGAGUGCGGAUGGCAUAACUCAAACGGGGGUAUAGCUCAGUUGGUAGAGCGCCUGCUUUGCAAGCAGGAUGUCAGCGGUUCGAGUCCGCUUACCUCCACCAAAACGCCCAAGCCAAGAUUGAGAAAAAUUCAGCACCGGCUGUCAGCAGCAGACUGCUGGAGAAAUUCUCCAGUCAAAGAACCUUGAAAACUGCAUAGUCAUAAGUCAGGCAAGAAGGAGAUUAGUUUUACUAAUCGACUUCACAGACAAAAAAAGUCAAGCAAA